Molecule: unclassified non-coding RNA, 314 nt
Filed under: uncultured fungus
Lineage: Eukaryota; Fungi
Description: partial contains 5.8S rRNA and ITS2
Source: RNAcentral
AACGCACAUUGCACUUUUCGGUAUCCGGGAAGGAAUUCCUGUUUAGAAUUCUUUUAAAUCCUCAUACAUUGUUCUUUGAAUAAUGCAAAAGAUGGGAAGGAUGGUGUUUUCCUUUUGCGAGGAAUUCGCUUGAAUGCAUGGUAUCCCAUGAUGUUGAAUCAUGUUGAUGGACAUUUUAUUUGAAGAUUCAGUUCUUGAUAAAUGAAAGUCAAUGUUGAAACGGGUCAGUUAAAGGAUGCCUCUUCAACAAGUUGGAUUGUUGAAACUUUUAAACUCUUGAUCUCAAAUCAGAGAAGGUCACCCGCUGAACUUAA